RNAcentral lists this ribosomal RNA (622 nucleotides) under uncultured bacterium. RNAcentral's name for it is "bacterial SSU rRNA". It matches the Rfam family "Bacterial small subunit ribosomal RNA", at positions 130 to 789 of the family's 1533-position model. The record is from RNAcentral.
CCUUCGGUACGGAAUACUCAGGGAAAUUUGUGCAAAUACCGUAUACUUCCUGGGGGAGAAAGAUUUAUCGCCGAAGGAUUAGCCCCCGUCUGAUUACCUAGUUGGUGAGGUAAUGGCUCACCAAGGCGACGAUCAGUAGCUGGUCUGAGAGGAUGACCAGCCGCACUGGGACUGAGACACGGCCCCACUCCUACGGGAGGCAGCACUGGGGAAUAUUGGACAAUGGGCGAAAGCCUGAUCCAGCCAUGCCGCGUGAGUGAUGAAGGCCUUAGGGUUGUAAAGCUCUUUUACCCGGGAAGAUAAUGACUGUACCGGGAGAAUAAGCCCCGGCUAACUUCGUGCCAGCAGCCGCGGAAAUACGAACGGGGCUAGCGUUGUUCGGAAUUACUGGCCGUAAAGCGCGCGUCGGCGGAUUUUUAAGUCAGAGGAGAAAUCCCAGGGCUCAACCACGGAACUGCCUUUGAUACUGGGAAUCUCCCCCUUGGGAGAGGUGAGUGGAACUGCGAGUGUAGAGGUGAGAUUCUUAUAUAUUCGCGAGAACACCAGGGGCGAGGCGGCUCCCUGGCCCACUACUGACUCUGAGGUGCGAAAGCGUGGGGAGCAAACAAGAUUAAAUACCCUG